UUGCAGAGGUAGGUUAGGAGACUAUGUAUCCUCCCUAUGGAAGCUAAGAAGGAUCUAUGAUGUAGAAGAAAUGAGAUUUAGCCAGAGUACUUGUUAUGCGUAGCAUAAAUGAUACAAAGCAAAAAGUAAAACAGAGAGAAGGGUGUGGAGGGGAGGGAGAAGAUUACA
This is a long non-coding RNA of Hibiscus syriacus, 168 nucleotides long. RefSeq lists it as uncharacterized. The record is from RefSeq and is a predicted model, not a curated record. The transcript is spliced from 3 exons. NCBI's taxonomy places the organism in Eukaryota, Viridiplantae, Streptophyta, Magnoliopsida, Malvales, Malvaceae.